This 90-nucleotide transfer RNA is filed under the name Caldimonas aquatica. RNAcentral's name for it is "Schlegelella aquatica tRNA-Ser". It matches the Rfam family "tRNA". From Rfam's summary of the family: Transfer RNA (tRNA) molecules are approximately 80 nucleotides in length. Their secondary structure includes four short double-helical elements and three loops (D, anti-codon, and T loops). The record is from RNAcentral. Lineage: Bacteria; Pseudomonadati; Pseudomonadota; Betaproteobacteria; Burkholderiales; Sphaerotilaceae. RNAcentral also lists the same sequence under 1 other name.
GGAGGUGUGGCCGAGUGGUUGAAGGCACCGGUCUUGAAAACCGGCGAAGGGGCGACCCUUCCGUGAGUUCGAAUCUCACCGCCUCCGCCA